CAUGUCCAAGUAUAAGCAAUCAUACUGUGAAACUGCGAAUGGCUCAUUAAAUCAGUUAUCGUUUAUUUGAUAGUACCUUUACCUGGAUAACCGUGGUAAUUCUAGAGCUAAUACAUGCUAAAAACCCCGACUUCGGGAGGGGUGUAUUUAUUAGAUAAAAAACCAAUGCCCUCUGGGCUCCUUGGUGAUUCAUAAUAACUAAACGAAUCGCAUGGCCUUGCGCCGGCGAUGGUUCAUUCAAAUUUCUGCCCUAUCAACUUUCGAUUGUAAGAUAGAGGCUUACAAUGGUCUUAACGGGUAACGGAGAAUUAGGGUUCGAUUCCGGAGAGGGAGCCUGAGAAACGGCUACCACAUCCAAGGAAGGCAGCAGGCGCGCAAAUUACCCAAUGCUAAUUCAGCGAGGUAGUGACAAUAAAUACUGAUACGGGGCUCUUUCGGGUCUCGUAAUUGGAAUGAGUACAAUCUAAAUCCCUUAACGAGGAACAAUUGGAGGGCAAGUCUGGUGCCAGCAGCCGCGGUAAUUCCAGCUCCAAUAGCGUAUAUUAAAGUUGUUGCCGUUAAAAAGCUCGUAGUUGAACCUUGGACCUGGCUGAUCUGUCCUCCUCAUCGAGCGCACGGAUUCGGUCGGGUCUUUCCUUCUGGGGAACCCGAUGCCCUUUACUGGGUGUCGCGGGGAACCAGGACUUUUACCUUGAAAAAAUUAGAGUGUUCAAAGCAGGCCUUUGCUCGAAUACAUUAGCAUGGAAUAAUAGAAUAGGACAUCGGUUCUAUUUUGUUGGUUUCUAGGACCGCUGUAAUGAUUAAUAGGGAUAGUCGGGGGCGUCAGUAUUCAAUUGUCAGAGGUGAAAUUCUUGGAUUUAUUGAAGACUAACUACUGCGAAAGCAUUCGCCAAGGAUGUUUUCAUUAAUCAGUGAACGAAAGUUAGGGGAUCGAAGACGAUCAGAUACCGUCGUAGUCUUAACCAUAAACUAUGCCGACUAGGGAUCGGACGGUGGUUUUUUUAUGCCCCGUUCGGCACCUUACGAGAAAUCAAAGUUUUUGGGCUCGGGGGGA
RNAcentral lists this ribosomal RNA (1054 nucleotides) under Chaetothyriales sp. CR07/3-4. RNAcentral's name for it is "SSU rRNA". It matches the Rfam family "Eukaryotic small subunit ribosomal RNA", at positions 54 to 1121 of the family's 1831-position model. The record is from RNAcentral. Lineage: Eukaryota; Fungi; Ascomycota; Eurotiomycetes; Chaetothyriales.